Molecule: ribosomal RNA, 253 nt
Filed under: uncultured bacterium
Lineage: Bacteria
Description: partial 16S ribosomal RNA
Rfam family: Bacterial small subunit ribosomal RNA
Source: RNAcentral
UACGUAGGGUGCAGGCGUUAAUCGGAAUUACUGGGCGUAAAGCGUGCGCAGGCGGUUUGCUAAGGCAGGUGUGAAAUCCCCGGGCUUAACCUGGGAACUGCGCUUGUUACUGGCAAGCUAGAGUGUGGCAGAGGGGGGUGGAAUUCCAGGUGUAGCAGUGAAAUGCGUAGAUAUCUGGAGGAACACCGAUGGCGAAGGCAGCCCCCUGGGCUAACACUGACGCUCAUGCACGAAAGCGUGGGGAGCAAACAGG